GGAUUAGAUACCCUGGUAGUCCACGCUGUAAACGAUGUCUACUUGGAGGCUGUUGUCAUGAACAGUGGCUUUCGAAGCUAACGCGAUAAGUAGACCGCCUGGGGAGUACGGUCGCAAGAUUAAAACUCAAAUGAAUUGACGGGGGCCCGCACAAGCGGUGGAGCAUGUGGUUUAAUUCGAUGCAACGCGAAGAACCUUACCUACUCUUGACAUCCAGAGAAGCUUGAAGAGAUUCGAGUGUGCCUUCGGGAGCUCUGAGACAGGUGCUGCAUGGCUGUCGUCAGCUCGUGCCG
This 293-nucleotide ribosomal RNA is filed under the name uncultured bacterium. Its description in RNAcentral is "partial 16S ribosomal RNA". It matches the Rfam family "Bacterial small subunit ribosomal RNA", at positions 775 to 1067 of the family's 1533-position model. The record is from RNAcentral.